This 519-nucleotide ribosomal RNA is filed under the name uncultured bacterium. Its description in RNAcentral is "bacterial SSU rRNA". It matches the Rfam family "Bacterial small subunit ribosomal RNA", at positions 9 to 526 of the family's 1533-position model. The record is from RNAcentral.
GAGUUUGAUCCUGGCUCAGGAUGAACGCUGGCGGCGUGCUUAACACAUGCAAGUCGAACGAAGCACUUUAUUUGAUUUCCUUCGGGACUGAUUAUUUUGUGACUGAGUGGCGGACGGGUGAGUAACGCGUGGGUAACCUGCCUUGUACAGGGGGAUAACAGUUGGAAACGGCUGCUAAUACCGCAUAAGCGCACGGCAUCGCAUGAUGCAGUGUGAAAAACUCCGGUGGUAUAAGAUGGACCCGCGUUGGAUUAGCUAGUUGGUGAGGUAACGGCCCACCAAGGCAACGAUCCAUAGCCGACCUGAGAGGGUGACCGGCCACAUUGGGACUGAGACACGGCCCAAACUCCUACGGGAGGCAGCAGUGGGGAAUAUUGCACAAUGGGCGAAAGCCUGAUGCAGCGACGCCGCGUGAGCGAAGAAGUAUUUCGGUAUGUAAAGCUCUAUCAGCAGGGAAGAUAAUGACGGUACCUGACUAAGAAGCACCGGCUAAAUACGUGCCAGCCGCCGCGGUAAUUC